RNAcentral lists this ribosomal RNA (253 nucleotides) under uncultured bacterium. Its description in RNAcentral is "partial 16S ribosomal RNA". It matches the Rfam family "Bacterial small subunit ribosomal RNA", at positions 524 to 776 of the family's 1533-position model. The record is from RNAcentral.
GACAGAGGGGGCUAGCGUUGUUCGGAUUUACUGGGCGUAAAGCGCGUGUAGGCGGGUCGUUAAGUUGGGGGUGAAAUCCCGAGGCUCAACCUCGGAACUGCCUUCAAAACUGGCGACCUGGAGCAAAGAAGAGGCGAGUGGAAUUGCGAGCGUAGAGGUGAAAUUCGUAGAUAUUCGCAAGAACACCAGUGGCGAAGGCGGCUCACUGGCCCGGUACUGACGCUGAGGCACGAAAGCGUGGGGAGCAAACAGG